GCAUAGAUGACCGAGUGGUUAAGGUGUAAGAUUCGAAAUCUUAUAGAUAUGUAUCUUCGCAGGUUCGAUUCCUGUUCUGUGCG
RNAcentral lists this transfer RNA (83 nucleotides) under Cryptomonas paramaecium. RNAcentral describes it as "Cryptomonas paramecium tRNA-Ser". It matches the Rfam family "tRNA". Rfam says of the family: Transfer RNA (tRNA) molecules are approximately 80 nucleotides in length. Their secondary structure includes four short double-helical elements and three loops (D, anti-codon, and T loops). The record is from RNAcentral. Lineage: Eukaryota; Cryptophyceae; Cryptomonadales; Cryptomonadaceae.